GAGCGGCGGACGGGUGAGUAACGCGUGGGAAACCUGCCCUGAUCCGGGGGAUAACAGUUGGAAACGACUACUAAUACCGCAUAAGCGCACAGAAUCGCAUGAUUCAGUGUGAAAAACUCCGGUGGAUCAGGAUGGUCCCGCGUCCGAUUAGCCAGUUGGCGGGGUAACGGCCCACCAAAGCGACGAUCGGUAGCCGACCUGAGAGGGUGACCGGCCACAUUGGGACUGAGACACGGCCCAAACUCCUACGGGAGGCAGCAGUGGGGAAUAUUGCACAAUGGGCGAAAGCCUGAUGCAGCGACGCCGCGUGAGUGAAGAAGUAUUUCGGUAUGUAAAGCUCUAUCAGCAGGGAAGAAAAUGACGGUACCUGCACAAGAAGCCCCGGCUAACUACGUGCCAGCAGCCGCGGUAAUACGUAGGGGGCAAGCGUUAUCCGGAUUUACUGGGUGUAAAGGGAGCGUAGAUGGAAUGGCAAGUCAGAUGUGAAAGGCAUGGGCUCAACUCGUGGACUGCAUUUGAAACUGUCAAUCUGGAGUGUCGGAGGGGCAAGCGGAAUUCCUGGUGUAGCGGUGAAAUGCGUAGAUAUCAGGAGGAACACCGGUGGCGAAGGCGGCUUGCUGGACGAUUACUGACAUUGAGGCUCGAAAGCGUGGGGAGCAAACAGGAUUAGAUACCCUGGUAGUCCACGCGGUAAACGAUGAAUACUAGGUGCUGGGUGCCACAGGCAUUCGGUGCCGCCGCUAACGCAUUAAGUAUUCCACCUGGGGAGUACGUUCGCAAGAAUGAAACUCAAAGGAAUUGACGGGGACCCGCACAAGCGGUGGAGCAUUGUGGUUUAAUUCGAAGCAACGCGAAGAACCUUACCAAGUUCUUGACAUCUCCCUGACCGUCCUGGAAACAGGACUUCUCUUCGGAGCAGGGAUGACAGGUGGUGCAUGGUUGUCGUCAGCUCGUGUCGUGAGAUGUUGGGUUAACGUCCCGCAACGAGCGCAACCCUUAUGUUCAGUAGCCAGCGGUUCGGCCGGGCACUCUGGGCAGACUGCCAGGGAUAACCUGGAGGAAGGCGGGGAUGACGUCAAAUCAUCAUGCCCCUUAUGAUUUGGGCUACACACGUGCUACAAUGGCGUUUAACAGAGGGAAGCAAACCCGCGAGGGGGAGCCAAUCCAAAAACAACGUCCCAGUUCGGACUGUAGUCUGCAACCCGACUACACGAAGCUGGAAUCGCUAGUAAUCGCGAAUCAGAAUGUCGCGGUGAAUACGUUCCCGGGUCUUGUACACACCGCCCGUCACACCAUGGGAGUCGAUAACGCCCGAAGCCGGUGACUCAACCGCAAGGAGAGAGCCGUCGAAGGCGG
RNAcentral lists this ribosomal RNA (1356 nucleotides) under uncultured bacterium. RNAcentral describes it as "16S ribosomal RNA". It matches the Rfam family "Bacterial small subunit ribosomal RNA", at positions 93 to 1465 of the family's 1533-position model. The record is from RNAcentral.